Molecule: long non-coding RNA, 612 nt
Organism: Vulpes vulpes (red fox)
Lineage: Eukaryota; Metazoa; Chordata; Mammalia; Carnivora; Canidae
Source: Ensembl
CCAUGCAGAAGGGUUAAUGAAAAAAUUACUGCUGCAGGCUGCAGUUAUCUGGUAAGCCCACCAAGUGUCAGUAAUUACUCUCCUAGGAAGAAUCAGAGAAACAAAAUUGUGCUAUUACGAGCCAAUAAGCAAGAACUGUGUUUUAGGAAACAUUCAAAUGAAUAUGAUUUCCCACUGAGUUAUGGUUUUGCCAGAUUGCUUUGUGGCUUCCAGCGUGCCUCAGACAACUUGACUGAAACGGAUACCCCUGGGGGUUCAUGGCUUGGCCUCUGAUAUAACCUGCUGGGGCAAAACCCCAGCCUGAAUUGGAAUUGAACUUUUUAAAAAGUAACCAAAUAGAAAAUAUAAAAUUGUAAAACAAUGAUAUGAGGAGAUUCCAAAACCAAAAGGAAACUUACCUGGAACUAAUGUCAGUUACAAAGUCGGUUACAGCGGACAAAAUCAGUAGGAAGAACCACAGCAACUUUUAAAUGCCAUUUGGGGAAAGUGCCUAUGGGUUUAGGGCUAUAAUUGAAGCUACCCCACUACCACUUACCAAAUUACCAAAUUCGAUGAACAUUCCUGUUCUCUGAGUUGCCUUUUCUCCAUAAAUGUAUGCUGUUUGAAAUUAAA